This 648-nucleotide ribosomal RNA is filed under the name uncultured bacterium. Its description in RNAcentral is "bacterial SSU rRNA". It matches the Rfam family "Bacterial small subunit ribosomal RNA", at positions 143 to 807 of the family's 1533-position model. The record is from RNAcentral.
AUAACAGUUGGAAACGACUGCUAAUACCGCAUAAGCGCACAGGGUCGCAUGGCCUGGUGUGAAAAACUCCGGUGGUAUGAGAUGGACCCGCGUCUGAUUAGCCAGUUGGUGGGGUAACGGCCUACCAAAGCGACGAUCAGUAGCCGACCUGAGAGGGUGACCGGCCACAUUGGGACUGAGACACGGCCCAAACUCCUACGGGAGGCAGCAGUGGGGAAUAUUGCACAAUGGGGGAAACCCUGAUGCAGCGACGCCGCGUGAGCGAAGAAGUAUUUCGGUAUGUAAAGCUCUAUCAGCAGGGAAGAAGAAAUGACGGUACCUGACUAAGAAGCACCGGCUAAAUACGUGCCAGCAGCCGCGGUAAUACGUAUGGUGCAAGCGUUAUCCGGAUUUACUGGGUGUAAAGGGAGCGCAGGCGGUACGGCAAGUCUGAUGUGAAAGCCCGGGGCUCAACCCCGGUACUGCAUUGGAAACUGUCGGACUAGAGUGUCGGAGGGGUAAGUGGAAUUCCUAGUGUAGCGGUGAAAUGCGUAGAUAUUAGGAGGAACACCAGUGGCGAAGGCGGCUUACUGGACGAUUACUGACGCUGAGGCUCGAAAGCGUGGGGAGCAAACAGGAUUAGAUACCCUGGUAGUCCACGCCGUAAAC